UACGCUUGUAGAAACUACUUAAUCACUCCUCUACAAGUUUGUAGAUCGCCAGCAGAGCAUCUUUACGAGUCACAAAUUAGGACAAGAAACCCAUUUAAACGACUGUUUGGUGUGUGGAAAACGCGGUUUGCGUGUAUCGCUUUAGGACUACGCGUAAACUUAAACAACUCGUUCGCUAUCAUUAUAGCAACAGUUGUGCUACACAAUAUUGCUCGUCAGGCAAAAGAAGAUGUUCCCAUGGACGACCCAAAUGUCUUCUUGCCAACUACAUGGGCCGCUUUAUUACGGCAAGAACAAACUCCAGCAGUGGCUGACGAACCACCUGUUAAACCACAUAACAGAAGACGACGAGACAAUCCUAAUCAGCGGCGCCGCCAAGCUUUAAUUGAAAACCACUUUAUGAUGUUGGCUACACGAGAUGUUCAAAAUAAAGAGGAAAGAGCAGGACAAUAAAAUUCAUUGCAUUGCAUGAAUUGCAACAAUGAUUACAACCUGGAUGGAAAUGUUUCCAUUAAAAUAGAGACGUUAUAUUUAUAUCAACAAAGUUUGAUUAUAAAGAGCGACAUUA
Long non-coding RNA from Dendroctonus ponderosae (mountain pine beetle), 568 nucleotides. RefSeq lists it as uncharacterized. Lineage: Eukaryota; Metazoa; Arthropoda; Insecta; Coleoptera; Curculionidae. The transcript is spliced from 2 exons. The record is from RefSeq and is a predicted model, not a curated record.